UGCUGAGGAAACUUGGGUGAUGCCCAGCAGAUUUGCAGGUUGCGGAGUGGAGAGACAGGGGAGCGGAGGGGAAGAGAUCUAGAGGCUGAAGAAAGAGGAAGAAACGUAACUCGGUGGUUCUUAACUGGGAGUGGCUGUACCCACCAGCGGAGGGUGAUGUCUGGAGACAGAUCGAUCUAGUCGUCACAACAGGGGGAGGAGGUGCUACUGGCCUCUCGUGGGUCAAGGCCAAGGAUGCGGCUAAGCGCCCCACAGUGCCCAGGACAGCCCACCAUACGGAAUGGCCCGGCCACAAAUGUCAGCAGAAGCCCUCACGAGAGGGCCUUGGUACCAAAGACUGUACGUCCCAGACCGCCUCCCUUUCGAUAACCGCUGUCUAACCUUUCCUCUGGUGGUGACAUAGUGGCUUGUGCAGCUUUAGGAGGUUCCAGGUACCUGGGCGCGGUGGGUGGCGCUAUUGACAAGAGCUCCCUGGGCGCUGGUAGCUGCUCGCGCCAGCCGGGCCUUGCUGUUUGCAUUCUUGCUAACUCAGCUCUCACUACUGAGGGUGGCAUCUUGCUGGCCAGAAACUGUCCUUUGAGGGCUCGACCCCACGUGGGCUGCUUUCCAUCUUUGCAUGAAGCUGGUGGGAGUGGAGCACAGAGGAACUGGGUGGCCCCUCUGCCUUGCCUGACUUCUGCCUGUCUAGGAGGAAUGUGAGGAUAUGGCCCUAAGUGGUGAGGAAGAGAAGCUGGAGCAGGAGCGAUCAGUGAGGGAGAGCGCGGUCUGGACAUUCCAGGAAGCACGUGGACCAGGACUCAAUGGGAGCUGACAUCUGAGCUAUGCACCAGGCACUGGCAUUUCCUUCUCCCUUCCACCCGUGUCAUCCUGUGAUGGGUCCAGGGAAGACCCUUCUCUCUUUAAGACUGCCCUUGAUGUAAAUUUUAGCCAGGUGUCACCUGAAGCGGAAGGAUGAGGAUCGGUGUGAGCAUACACAGACGGCUGAGGCUACAGGUUCGAGAUGUCCACUGGGGCCGCAGUUUGGAAAGUACGUGCUGACAUGGCAGCUGAGAACCAAAACCCCUUCUGAGCCUGUGGUCAAACCCUCCUAAUAAGAAGAGAAACUGAGAGUCUCAGGCCGCGUGCUGGGAGAGCCGCACGGUCGGGCAAGGGGCUGGGGGUGGGGGAGGCGCCAGGAAAACUCUGAAAAUUCUGCACCCUGUUUUGCUUUCACUCACCUAGAUUUAGAAGAAUCCUCUGGCAAAAUGAAACUGAACUCUUACUUCCCCACUGAUGGUCUCCCGGUGACGGCAUAGACACUCUUGUCCUUGGUGGUAGAUCUGGAUGCUUUGGGUGUCGGCUUUGUCAAGGUUUAAUUUAUGUACAAUAAAAUCCACCAAUUUGAAGUGUACCAUUUAAUGAGUUUUGACAAAUGUGUACAGUCCUGCAGCCACCACGAUCAUGACAUAAACCAUUUCCAUCGUCCCAACAGUUCCCUCGUCUCUCUCUCUCUGGGUAAUCUCCUUCUUCCACCCCCAGCUCCCGGCAACCCCUGAGCUGCUUUCCAGCACUGUGGUUUGGCUUUUUCUUUUUAUGAAUUGUAUGUGCAUAGAAUCUUACAGCAUGUGGUCCUUUAUGUCUGGCUUUUGAAACUUAACGGAGUGCUUUUACGAGUCCUCCACACUGUUGUGUUUCAGUCGCCUGUUCGGUGUGGAGACGUGACAAUUUGUUUGACCAUUCACCAGUUCCUGGAUGUCUGGGUUGUUUCCAGUGUUUGGAGACACCGAAUAAAGCUGCUAUAAACAUUCAUUUACAGGUAUUAACGUGGACAUAUGUUUUCUAUUUUUGUGGUAAAUACCUAUAAGUGGAAUUACUGGG
This is a long non-coding RNA of Equus asinus (donkey), 1857 nucleotides long. The record is from Ensembl. NCBI's taxonomy places the organism in Eukaryota, Metazoa, Chordata, Mammalia, Perissodactyla, Equidae.